AAACCAUGAUGUGGACAUCUUCGUUGUAACUCCCUAAAUCGCUCUCAUACCUCAUACAAAGAUUCUCCCUCUUGUUGACAAAAGUUAGUUAUAUCCAUUCUUAAUUU
Molecule: small nucleolar RNA, 107 nt
Organism: Coffea eugenioides
Lineage: Eukaryota; Viridiplantae; Streptophyta; Magnoliopsida; Gentianales; Rubiaceae
Source: RefSeq, a predicted model, not a curated record